GAUGAAGAACGUAGCGAAAUGCGAUAAGUAAUGUGAAUUGCAGAAUUCAGUGAAUCAUCGAAUCUUUGAACGCACAUUGCGCCCCCUGGUAUUCCGGGGGGCAUGCCUGUUCGAGCGUCAUUUCACCACUCAAGCCUCGCUUGGUAUUGGGCAACGCGGUCCGCCGCGUGCCUCAAAUCGACCGGCUGGGUCUUCUGUCCCCUAAGCGUUGUGGAAACUAUUCGCUAAAUGGUGCUCGGGAGGCUACGCCGUAAAACAAACCCAUUUCUAAGGUUGACCUCGGAUCAGGUAGGGAUACCCGCUGAACUUAAGCAUAUCAAUAAGCGGAGGA
Molecule: unclassified non-coding RNA, 331 nt
Filed under: soil metagenome
Description: partial contains 5.8S ribosomal RNA, internal transcribed spacer 2, and large subunit ribosomal RNA
Rfam family: 5.8S ribosomal RNA (bases 1-120)
Source: RNAcentral